CGGAGGAUCCAAGCGUUAUCCGGAUUUAUUGGGUUUAAAGGGUGCGUAGGUGGCCAGUUAAGUCAGGGGUGAAAGACGGUAGCUCAACUAUCGCAGUGCCUUUGAUACUGACGGGCUUGAAUACACUAGAGGUAGGCGGAAUGUGACAAGUAGCGGUGAAAUGCAUAGAUAUGUCACAGAACACCAAUUGCGAAGGCAGCUUACUAUGGUGUCAUUGACACUGAGGCACGAAAGCGUGGGGAUCAAACAGGAUUAGAUACCCUGGUAGUCCACGCCCUAAACGAUGAAUACUCGAUGUUGGCGAUAUACGGUCAGCGUCUAAGCGAAAGCGUUAAGUAUUCCACCUGGGGAGUACGCCCGCAAGGGUG
RNAcentral lists this ribosomal RNA (368 nucleotides) under uncultured organism. Its description in RNAcentral is "bacterial SSU rRNA". It matches the Rfam family "Bacterial small subunit ribosomal RNA", at positions 526 to 896 of the family's 1533-position model. The record is from RNAcentral.